This 1082-nucleotide long non-coding RNA is filed under the name Salmo salar (Atlantic salmon). RNAcentral's name for it is "lncRNA (ENSSSAG00000102244.1)". The record is from RNAcentral. Lineage: Eukaryota; Metazoa; Chordata; Actinopteri; Salmoniformes; Salmonidae.
GAAGAAGUGGACAUGGUGGAAUCGGAGGGGCGGGAGGCUGAAGGAGAGGAGGAGCAGGAGGCUGAAGGAGAGAAGGAGCAGGAGGAGGAAGGAGAUAAGAGAGUGGAGGGGUCGGAGAAGACGGCGGUGGAGAAGGAGAUGGAGAAGGGAACAGAGAGGGAGGAGAUAGAGAAGACGGAGGUGGAGAAGAAAGAGACAGAAAGGAAGGAGACUGGGAAGACGGCGGUGGAGAAGAAAGAGAUAGAAAGGAAGGAGAGAGGGAAGAAGGUGGUGGAGGAGAAAGAGACAGAAAGGAAGGAGAGAGGGAAGAAGGUGGUGGAGGAGAAAGAGACAGAAAGGAAGGAGAGAGGGAAGAAGGUGGUGGAGGAGAAAGAGACAGAAAGGAAGGAGAGAGGGAAGAAGGUGGUGGAGGAGAAAGAGACAGAAAGGAAGGAGAGAGGGAAGAAGGUGGUGGAGGAGAAAGAGACAGAAAGGAAGGAGACAGGGAAGAAGGUGGUGGAGGAGAAAGAGACAGAAAGGAAGGAGACAGGGAAGAAGGUGGUGGAGAAGAAAGAGACAGAAAGGAAGGAGACAGGGAAGAAGGUGGUGGAGAAGAAAGAGACAGAAAGGAAGGAGACAGGGAAGAAGGUGGUGGAGGAGAAAGAAAGAAAGGAAGGAGACAGGGAAGAAGGUGGUGGAGGAGAAAGAGACAGAAAGGAAGGAGACAGGGAAGAAGGUGGUGGAGGAGAAAGAGAUAGAAAGGAAGGAGACAGGGAAGAAGGUGGUGGAGGAGAAAGAAAGAAAGGAAGGAGAGAGGGAAGAAGGUGGUGGAGAAGAAAGAGACAGAAAGGAAGGAGACAGGGAAGAAGGUGGUGGAGAAGAAAGAGACAGAAAGGGAGGAGAAAGAGAAGGCAGUGGUGGCGGGACCAGUAGGAGAAGGAGUGAAGGAGUGGGGGGACAGUAAAGAGGUGAGAUCACGGGUGGAGGAGCUGAGGGAGAUGGUGGGGGGGCUGCCGGACAAUAUGAAUGAAGCGAGGGGGUGCUUGACGGACGCGGAAAGGAAUGUUCCCUGGCUGCGCCCUCCACCAAUAAAGAGACCUAAG